CGACGCAUCGCGGGAGAGCCGGCAGCCAACAUCGCCGGCACCGAAGGAGCAAGCCUCCCCGCCAAUCUCUCAGGUCGCAUCACCGCGAUGACCAG
RNAcentral lists this non-coding RNA (95 nucleotides) under Agromyces sp. Its description in RNAcentral is "Glycine sequence". It matches the Rfam family "Glycine riboswitch aptamer". Rfam says of the family: This family represents the bacterial glycine riboswitch. Glycine riboswitches usually consist of two metabolite-binding aptamers domains with similar structures in tandem. Lineage: Bacteria; Bacillati; Actinomycetota; Actinomycetes; Micrococcales; Microbacteriaceae. The record is from RNAcentral. RNAcentral also lists the same sequence under 1 other name.